CCUACGGGAGGCAGCAGUGGGGAAUAUUGGACAAUGGGGGCAACCCUGAUCCAGCCAUGCCGCGUGAGUGAUGACGGCCUUAGGGUUGUAAAGCUCUUUUCUCCGGGACGAUAAUGACGGUACCGGAGGAAUAAGCCCCGGCUAACUUCGUGCCAGCAGCCGCGGUAAUACGAAGGGGGCUAGCGUUGCUCGGAAUCACUGGGCGUAAAGGGCGCGUAGGCGGCUGACUUAGUCGAGGGUGAAAGCCCGUGGCUCAACCACGGAAUGGCCUUCGAUACUGGUUGGCUUGAGACCGGAAGAGGACAGCGGAACUGCGAGUGUGGAGGUGAAAUUCGUAGAUAUUCGCAAGAACACCAGUGGCGAAGGCGGCUGUCUGGUCCGGUUCUGACGCUGAGGCGCGAAAGCGUGGGGAGCAAACAGGAUUAGAUACCCUGGUAGUCCACGCUGUAAACGAUGAAUGCUAGCCGUUGGUCUGCAUGCAGGUCAGUGGCGCCGCUAACGCAUUAAGCAUUCCGCCUGGGGAGUACGGUCGCAAGAUUAAAACUCAAAGUAGUUAGUUAGCGNGNGAGNGCGACGACGACGACGAGGAGGAGG
RNAcentral lists this ribosomal RNA (594 nucleotides) under uncultured bacterium. Its description in RNAcentral is "bacterial SSU rRNA". It matches the Rfam family "Bacterial small subunit ribosomal RNA", at positions 338 to 950 of the family's 1533-position model. The record is from RNAcentral.